Molecule: long non-coding RNA, 1525 nt
Filed under: Papio anubis (olive baboon)
Lineage: Eukaryota; Metazoa; Chordata; Mammalia; Primates; Cercopithecidae
Description: lncRNA (ENSPANG00000041409.1)
Source: RNAcentral
GCUUCGUCAGUGUCCACUUCUGCUCUGGCUGUGUUCAUGCUAUUCUCAGGAUGGAUUCUGGCCAAAAGGUGAUCAAGGCAGUGAUACAAGGGCCUAGCUCUUUCAGCCCAUUAUGGGAGUGCUCUAAUGGAAAAGUUCUGUUCUGGAAUUCCCUGUUGGGUUGGCCAAAGCAUUAUUAGAUUGGUGUACUGAUCUGAUAACUCUCCCUGCUCAAAUCUUUUUCCCCAUUUUUCCUUUCACUGAUAUUACUUGUCAAUAAACUGUUACGUUCUUCACUUCAUCUUAGUGUCUACUUCCUUGAGAACUCAACCAGUGACACAGGCUCUAGAGUGUUCAUAAUUUCAGUGUAUACAGCAGGUAUGUCAGCGGCAUGAUGGGCUAGAAGGCAAGGGUAGAGAGGUAUUACUACUAUUAUCGCUUCUCUGACUUUGGAUAUUGACAGGCAAAAAUGACGUGUAGGGUCUCUGUUGGAGAAAGGGACCACAUGGGCAAAGACUCGGGGCUAUCACCAGUUUGACCAUUCUGUAGAGUGUGUUGUGUUUGACACAACUUCAGGGCAGUUGUGAAGGGACUUGUGUCUAGAAAGGUAGUUUGAGGUCAGCCUUGAAUACCAAGCUAAAGACUGUGGGUUUUAUUUUUUAAGGGGUUGCUACAUUGGAAACAAGGUCAUGCUUAAUGUGCUUUGUGGGAUUAUCUGGUUUUGGCCCACAAUGGGAUUUGUGUGUUAAAUUUGUCUAAGCAGAAGUUAAUUAAUAAGCAGGUAUUAAUGUAUUUGAGUUUACCUUGGAAAUUUGCUUUUUAAAUAUAGGAUUAAGUAGGGGAGGGAAGCACAUUUCAGGCUGGAAAGUCAGCUGAGUUAUAGCCCUCUGGUCCCUCUGCAGCCUGUCAGCUUCCUUUCCUGCCCCCAAAUCCCAGGUUCCUUGGAAAUAACAGAGGAACAACACUGCAGCAAAUGCAUACUUUAUUCCAGACAGAAGAGGCUUGACUAUUCUUUCAAAAGAACUAGUAAGACUGGAAGGUUAAUUCCUCAGAUCCUCCCUCAUGUAACAUGGUAUAGAGAUUUCCAGAAGCAGAAAAGAGCUACAGUGAGCUUCCCAGGGGCUUGGCUGAAGAAGAGCUACAGUCUGGCUGGAGAAUGUAGCUCCAGUUAAUAUUAACUCUUUUCCUCCUCAAUCAUUUAGCAAGUGUUUAUAGAUUGCCUAUGCACUUCACCCUGUAAUUGAAAUUAUGAAAAGAAAUUAUGCAGGAAAUAAGGGAAGACUGUAUUUAGUCCCAAUUAAUCUUUACUUAUCUGCAGUCUGUACCAGAUCAUAAGCUCCCUGAGGACAGCAUUUGUACCAUUUAUCCCUGUAUCCUCUGUGCCUAGUGCAGAACAAGGAACACAUCAGAAGCUUAUUAACUACUUCUUGACUAAAAGAGUAAUGAAUAUAAAAAUUAUCAUGUAAAAAAUAAGAAAAUAAUAAAGUCCUUUAUAUAAAUAGUUCAUUGAUUCAACCAAUGUUUUUGGAGUGCUUCUCUAUGAUCA